Molecule: non-coding RNA, 680 nt
Organism: Schizosaccharomyces pombe (fission yeast)
Lineage: Eukaryota; Fungi; Ascomycota; Schizosaccharomycetes; Schizosaccharomycetales; Schizosaccharomycetaceae
Source: the annotation of a GenBank genome assembly
CAAUUCUUGUCCAACUUUAUAAUCAUAAGCAACCAUGAUACCCGACAAAACUGCAGUAAUUCCUUUCAAUUGCUGAGCCAGUCUUUUCGCUGGCGACGAAAAGCUUAGGGUAUCAACGCUGUCGGUAUAAUCACUCACAUCCAAUGCAGCAGUAAGUAAAUGAAGAAGCUUUCUUUCUUCAUAUUCAAGUCUCAAAGGAAUCACUUUGGCCCUUUGCAACAACACAGGAGAAGAAAAUUUCUUUUCAGGUGAUUCAUUACCCGUUUUAGAUUCAUUGGGGAGAAUGGAUGACAAAUACAAAUUCCUUAAGGCUUCAGCGUCCAUGUCUAUGUAAAGAAUACGUUCUCAUGAAUUAAUCAUACAGGUAUAAAUUAAAAGGAGGAAGUAUUAAAGUGAGGGAAUCUUUAAAAAAAAAUUUUAAUUUAACAUGUGUUUUUGCAAUGUUGAAAUAAAAGCAACUGCACAGCUGUAAUUUAUUGUUUUUUGAUCUAUAUCGAAGGUUGGGCGUUCACUACUUGUCACUUCAACAGGUACUAUUUUCUACCGCUAUUUUAGAUGCCACCAUUCUAAGUAUACGGAAAAGGAAAUUAUAUGAGCAUUUUUUAUUUUUGAAAUUUGAUAAGCAUUAAGGAAAGUAUGCAUGUAGUAAAGCAAUAUUUUAGAUAAACUAACAAGAUAAA